CUUUCUCCAAGUGUAGGCUUUUCCUUGCCAGAGAUAGCUUUUGAAUAAGACUCUCAGUCUAAGAAGUUUCUGGCGGGGCUGUCAGCCAUCUUGGGCCCCCAGUGGCUGGGGCGGCAGGGGCUGACUCUUGGUCAAGGGAUGUUCUAGCCCAGAGCAAGGGAAGCCAGAGCCCCUAUCCCAUUCCUGGGCCUCAGAGAGAUUGCAGGACAUCCCGGCCCGACUCUCACUGUGUGACACAGCUUCAGAUCUUAAUGUAUUGGAAAGGUAUUCCUGAUGUUGUGCUUUUAAUCACCUCUUCCUCUCACCUCUGUGAAUUAUCCUGAAGAGUUCUUUAAGAAUAUAAUAGAAGACAAAGAAAGAUGCUAUUAAUGUUAUUUUGCCAAGAAUAUUUUUGUAGCAUAAUAUAUUAAUAAAAGAUAUCAUGACU
This 427-nucleotide long non-coding RNA is filed under the name Bos taurus (domestic cattle). Its description in RNAcentral is "long non-coding RNA NONBTAT018911". The record is from RNAcentral. Lineage: Eukaryota; Metazoa; Chordata; Mammalia; Artiodactyla; Bovidae.